This 190-nucleotide unclassified non-coding RNA is filed under the name Archaeospora sp. Its description in RNAcentral is "partial contains 5.8S ribosomal RNA and internal transcribed spacer 2". The stretch from base 1 to 71 matches the Rfam family "5.8S ribosomal RNA", at positions 84 to 154 of the family's 154-position model. Lineage: Eukaryota; Fungi; Glomeromycota; Glomeromycetes; Archaeosporales; Archaeosporaceae. The record is from RNAcentral.
GUGAAUCAUCAAAUUUUUGAACGCAUAUUGCACUCUCUGGUAUUCCGGAGAGUAUGCCUAUUUGAGGGUCAUUUGAAAUAAUAUAAAUUUCGAUGUUUACUAGGAAUCAAAAAUGGGGAGGUCCAGCUUUUGUGUGGUGGUCGCCUAAAAUGCAAGACAAGCUCAUUUCUUGAGGUGGGUAAUACUUUCA